GGUGAGUAACACGUGAGUAACCUGCCCCUGACUCUGGAAUAACCGUGGGAAACGACGGCUAAUACCGGAUAUGAGACGUCCACGCAUGUGAGCGUCUGGAAAGAUUUAUCGGUCUGGGAUGGACUCGCGGCCUAUCAGCUUGUUGGUGGGGUAAUGGCCCACCAAGGCGACGACGGGUAGCCGGCCUGAGAGGGCGACCGGCCACACUGGGACUGAGAUACGGCCCAGACUCCUACGGGAGGCAGCAGUGGGGAAUAUUGCACAAUGGGCGCAAGCUGAUGCAGCGACGCCGCGUGGGGGAUGAAGGCCUUCGGGUUGUAAACCCUUUCAGCAGGGAAGAAGCGAAAGUGACGGUACCUGCAGAAGAAGCGCCGGCUAACUACGUGCCAGCAGCCGCGGUAAUACGUAGGGCGCAAGCGUUGUCCGGAAUUAUUGGGCGUAAAGAGCUCGUAGGCGGUUUGUCGCGUCUGCUGUGAAAACCCGAGGCUCAACCUCGGGCUUGCAGUGGGUACGGGCAGACUAGAGUGCGGUAGGGGUGACUGGAAUUCCUGGUGUAGCGGUGGAAUGCGCAGAUAUCAGGAGGAACACCGAUGGCGAAGGCAGGUCACUGGGCCGCAACUGACGCUGAGGAGCGAAAGCAUGGGGAGCGAACAGGAUUAGAUACCCUGGUAGUCCAUGCCGUAAACGUUGGGCACUAGGUGUGGGGCUCAUUCCACGAGUUCCGUGCCGCAGCAAACGCAUUAAGUGCCCCGCCUGGGGAGUACGGCCGCAAGGCUAAAACUCAAAGGAAUUGACGGGGGCCCGCACAAGCGGCGGAGCAUGCGGAUUAAUUCGAUGCAACGCGAAGAACCUUACCAAGGCUUGACAUACACCGGAAAAGUGCAGAGAUGUGCUCCCCGCAAGGUCGGUGUACAGGUGGUGCAUGGUUGUCGUCAGCUCGUGUCGUGAGAUGUUGGGUUAAGUCCCGCAACGAGCGCAACCCUCGUCCUAUGUUGCCAGCACGUUAUGGUGGGGACUCAUAGGAGACUGCCGGGGUCAACUCGGAGGAAGGUGGGGAUGACGUCAAAUCAUCAUGCCCCUUAUGUCUUGGGCUUCACGCAUGCUACAAUGGCCGGUACAAAGGGCUGCGAUACCGCAAGGUGGAGCGAAUCCCAAAAAGCCGGUCUCAGUUCGGAUUGGGGUCUGCAACUCGACCCCAUGAAGUCGGAGUCGCUAGUAAUCGCAGAUCAGCAACGCUGCGGUGAAUACGUUCCCGGGCCUUGUACACACCGC
RNAcentral lists this ribosomal RNA (1272 nucleotides) under Cellulomonadaceae str. WB9. RNAcentral describes it as "bacterial SSU rRNA". It matches the Rfam family "Bacterial small subunit ribosomal RNA", at positions 105 to 1393 of the family's 1533-position model. The record is from RNAcentral. Lineage: Bacteria; Bacillati; Actinomycetota; Actinomycetes; Micrococcales; Cellulomonadaceae.